RNAcentral lists this ribosomal RNA (253 nucleotides) under uncultured bacterium. Its description in RNAcentral is "partial 16S ribosomal RNA". It matches the Rfam family "Bacterial small subunit ribosomal RNA", at positions 524 to 776 of the family's 1533-position model. The record is from RNAcentral.
UACGUAGGGCGCAAGCGUUGUCCGGAAUUAUUGGGCGUAAAGAGCUCGUAGGCGGUUUGUUGGGUCGGCUGUGAAAUCCCGAGGCUCAACCUCGGGUCUGCAGUCGAUACGAGCAAACUAGAGGGUUGCAGAGGAGACUGGAAUUCCCGGUGUAGCGGUGAAAUGUGUAGAGAUCGGGAGGAACACCGGUGGCGAAGGCGGGUCUCUGGGCAACUCCUGACGCUGAGGCGCGAAAGCGUGGGGAGCAAACGGG